GGAGUUAGGAAAUGUAAAGGUGUUAAUAGCGCCUUUAUUUGACGAAGGCUCCAGAGGAAGCCACGGCUAACUCUGUGCCAGCAGCCGCGGUAAUACAGAGGUGGCAAGCGUUGUUCGGAAUUAUUGGGCGUAAAGAGCACGUAGGCGGUCCUGCAAGUCUGUUGUGAAAUCCUUCCGCUUAACGGGAGAACGGCAGCUGAUACUACAGGACUAGAGUACGGGAGGGGAGAGUGGAACUUCUG
Molecule: ribosomal RNA, 242 nt
Filed under: uncultured Planctomycetales bacterium
Lineage: Bacteria; Pseudomonadati; Planctomycetota; Planctomycetia; Planctomycetales
Description: partial 16S ribosomal RNA
Rfam family: Bacterial small subunit ribosomal RNA
Source: RNAcentral